This 274-nucleotide ribosomal RNA is filed under the name uncultured bacterium. Its description in RNAcentral is "partial 16S ribosomal RNA". It matches the Rfam family "Bacterial small subunit ribosomal RNA", at positions 523 to 796 of the family's 1533-position model. The record is from RNAcentral.
CUACGGAGGGUGCAAGCGUUACUCGGAAUCACUGGGCGUAAAGCGCGCGCAGGCGGUCUUUUAAGUUGGAUGUGAAAGCCUACGGCUCAACCGUAGAACUGCAUCCAAAACUAUUAGACUAGAGUGUGGGAGAGGAAGAUGGAAUUAGUUGUGUAGGGGUAAAAUCCGUAGAGAUAACUAGGAAUACCAAAAGCGAAGGCAAUCUUCUGGAACACUACUGACGCUGAGGCGCGAAAGCGUGGGGAGCAAACAGGAUUAGAUACCCCAGUAGUCC